UCCCUAACAGUCUAGUGGUUAAGACUCUGUGUUCCCAUUGCAGAAGGCACAAGUUUGAUUCCUGUUCAGAGAA
Non-coding RNA from Bos taurus (domestic cattle), 73 nucleotides. Lineage: Eukaryota; Metazoa; Chordata; Mammalia; Artiodactyla; Bovidae. The record is from Rfam.